AAGUCGUAACAAGGUAGCCGUAGGGGAACCUGCGGCUGGAUCACCUCCUUAAUCGAAGAUCUCAGCUUCUUCAUAAGCUCCCACACGAAUUGCUUGAUUCACUGGUUAGACGAUUGGGUCUGUAGCUCAGUUGGUUAGAGCGCACCCCUGAUAAGGGUGAGGUCGGCAGUUCGAAUCUGCCCAGACCCACCAAUUGUUGGUGUGCUGCGUGAUCCGAUACGGGGCCAUAGCUCAGCUGGGAGAGCGCCUGCUUUGCACGCAGGAGGUCAGGAGUUCGAUCCUCCUUGGCUCCACCAUCUAAAACAAUCGUCGAAAGCUCAGAAAUGAAUGUUCGUGAAUGAACAUUGAUUUCUGGUCUUUGCACCAGAACUGUUCUUUAAAAAUUCGGGUAUGUGAUAGAAGUAAGACUGAAUGAUCUCUUUCACUGGUGAUCAUUCAAGUCAAGGUAAAAUUUGCGAGUUCAAGCGCGAAUUUUCGGCGAAUGUCGUCUUCACAGUAUAACCAGAUUGCUUGGGGUUAUAUAUGGUC
RNAcentral lists this unclassified non-coding RNA (528 nucleotides) under Pseudomonas aeruginosa. RNAcentral's name for it is "partial contains 16S ribosomal RNA, 16S-23S ribosomal RNA intergenic spacer, and 23S ribosomal RNA". The stretch from base 116 to 189 matches the Rfam family "tRNA". Lineage: Bacteria; Pseudomonadati; Pseudomonadota; Gammaproteobacteria; Pseudomonadales; Pseudomonadaceae. The record is from RNAcentral.